UUCUUUUUGAAUAGAAUAAAAAGUAGCCCCUGCUCAAUGAAAUAAUUAAAUAGCUGCAGAUAAUCUGUACUAAGGUAGCAUAAUCAAUUGUGAUGUUAAUUGCGGACUAGUAUGAAGGGGGAUAUUGUUAAAAACUUUAUUUUAUUUUUUUAUUAAACUUAAACUUAUAGUAAAAAUGCUAUAAUAAUUGUUAGGGACGAGAAGACCCUAUAAAGCUUUUAUGUUUGUAGAUAGUUUUUAUUUGUAAAUAUAUUUAUUGGGGCAAUAUUUUAAUUAAAUAUAAAUUUAAAGGGAAAUAUAUAAUGUAAUCAAGAUCCAUUAAUAAUGAAAUAAGAUUAAGUUACUUUAGGGAUAACAGCAUAAUUUUUUUUAUUAAGAGCUUAUUAAUAUAAUUGAUUAUGACCUCGAUGUUGAAUUAAUUAAAUUUUAUGGUGUAGAAACUAUAUAAAAUAUGACUGUUCGUCAUUUAAAGGAUUACA
RNAcentral lists this ribosomal RNA (479 nucleotides) under Parapurcellia staregai. Its description in RNAcentral is "partial 16S large subunit ribosomal RNA". The record is from RNAcentral. Lineage: Eukaryota; Metazoa; Arthropoda; Arachnida; Opiliones; Pettalidae.